GAAUGGACAUCGACAUAGAGAGAUCAGCUCCACACUUAUACUCUGCCACUCAACUUCCCCAUGUGACUUGAGGAUCACUCUAACUCCAAAACAUAGCAAGCUCGCGGAACAUCAGGGUUCAUGCAAAGUAUUCCAAGGAGCCCCUUGAAGCAACAGAAUGGAUUGCUCUUCUAUGGUGGAAUGGCACCCUGGAUGAUUAAAACCGUAGCAGCAAACAAAACCUCCAUCAAAUAUUCCUGAAAACAGAGUCAAGUUAUAUUUCUAAAGUACUAGCGUCUGCUUAAAGAAAUGACAAGGUGAAGUCUUUCACAAAGUAAGCAUUCAAUGUAUGAUUUCUCUGCUAUGUAAAUCUGGUUGUUCAUACAGUUUCUAUGACAUAAUUGGCCACGACC
Molecule: long non-coding RNA, 392 nt
Organism: Homo sapiens (human)
Lineage: Eukaryota; Metazoa; Chordata; Mammalia; Primates; Hominidae
Gene: MAGEB17-AS1
Product: MAGEB17 antisense RNA 1
Source: Ensembl